This 437-nucleotide ribosomal RNA is filed under the name uncultured bacterium. Its description in RNAcentral is "partial 16S ribosomal RNA". It matches the Rfam family "Bacterial small subunit ribosomal RNA", at positions 29 to 507 of the family's 1533-position model. The record is from RNAcentral.
AGCGAACGCUGGCGGCAGGCUUAACACAUGCAAGUCGAGCGGGCAUCCUUGUGGUGUCCGCGGCAGACGGGUGAGUAACGCGUGGGAACGUGCCCUUCGGUUCGGAAUAACUCAGGGAAACUUGAGCUAAUACCGGUUACGUGCGAGAGCAGAAAGGUUUAUCUGCCGAAGGAUCGGCCCGCGUCUGAUUAGCUAGUUGGUGAGGUUACGGCUCACCAAGGUGACGAUCAGUAGCUGGUCUGAGAGGAUGAUCAGCCACACUGGGACUGAGACACGGCCCAGACUCCUACGGGAGGCAGCAGUGGGGAAUAUUGGACAAUGGGGGCAACCCUGAUCCAGCCAUGCCGCGUGAGUGAUGACGGCCUUAGGGUUGUAAAGCUCUUUUCUCCGGGACGAUAAUGACGGUACCGGAGGAAUAAGCCCCGGCUAACUUCGUG